RNAcentral lists this ribosomal RNA (429 nucleotides) under Acidobacteriota bacterium. RNAcentral describes it as "Acidobacteria bacterium partial 16S ribosomal RNA". It matches the Rfam family "Bacterial small subunit ribosomal RNA", at positions 355 to 776 of the family's 1533-position model. The record is from RNAcentral. Lineage: Bacteria; Pseudomonadati; Acidobacteriota.
UGGGGAAUAUUGGACAAUGGGCGCAAGCCUGAUCCAGCCAUACCGCGUGGGUGAAGAAGGCCUUCGGGUUGUAAAGCCCUUUUGUUGGGAAAGAAAAGCAGCCGGUUAAUACCCGGUUGUUCUGACGGUACCCAAAGAAUAAUCACCGGCUAACUUCGUGCCAGCAGCCGCGGUAAUACGAAGGGUGCAAGCGUUACUCGGAAUUACUGGGCGUAAAGCGUGCGUAGGUGGUUGUUUAAGUCUGUCGUGAAAGCCCUGGGCUCAACCUGGGAAUUGCGAUGGAAACUGGGCGACUAGAGUGUGGCAGAGGGUAGUGGAAUUCCUGGUGUAGCAGUGAAAUGCGUAGAGAUCAGGAGGAACAUCCGUGGCGAAGGCGACUGCCUGGGCCAACACUGACACUGAGGCACGAAAGCGUGGGGAGCAAACAGG